Molecule: ribosomal RNA, 2902 nt
Filed under: Escherichia coli ECC-1470
Lineage: Bacteria; Pseudomonadati; Pseudomonadota; Gammaproteobacteria; Enterobacterales; Enterobacteriaceae
Description: bacterial LSU rRNA
Rfam family: Bacterial large subunit ribosomal RNA
Source: RNAcentral
UUAAGCGACUAAGCGUACACGGUGGAUGCCCUGGCAGUCAGAGGCGAUGAAGGACGUGCUAAUCUGCGAUAAGCGUCGGUAAGGUGAUAUGAACCGUUAUAACCGGCGAUUUCCGAAUGGGGAAACCCAGUGUGAUUCGUCACACUAUCAUUAACUGAAUCCAUAGGUUAAUGAGGCGAACCGGGGGAACUGAAACAUCUAAGUACCCCGAGGAAAAGAAAUCAACCGAGAUUCCCCCAGUAGCGGCGAGCGAACGGGGAGGAGCCCAGAGCCUGAAUCAGUGUGUGUGUUAGUGGAAGCGUCUGGAAAGGCGCGCGAUACAGGGUGACAGCCCCGUACACAAAAAUGCACAUGCUGUGAGCUCGAUGAGUAGGGCGGGACACGUGGUAUCCUGUCUGAAUAUGGGGGGACCAUCCUCCAAGGCUAAAUACUCCUGACUGACCGAUAGUGAACCAGUACCGUGAGGGAAAGGCGAAAAGAACCCCGGCGAGGGGAGUGAAAAAGAACCUGAAACCGUGUACGUACAAGCAGUGGGAGCACGCUUAGGCGUGUGACUGCGUACCUUUUGUAUAAUGGGUCAGCGACUUAUAUUCUGUAGCAAGGUUAACCGAAUAGGGGAGCCGAAGGGAAACCGAGUCUUAACUGGGCGUUAAGUUGCAGGGUAUAGACCCGAAACCCGGUGAUCUAGCCAUGGGCAGGUUGAAGGUUGGGUAACACUAACUGGAGGACCGAACCGACUAAUGUUGAAAAAUUAGCGGAUGACUUGUGGCUGGGGGUGAAAGGCCAAUCAAACCGGGAGAUAGCUGGUUCUCCCCGAAAGCUAUUUAGGUAGCGCCUCGUGAAUUCAUCUCCGGGGGUAGAGCACUGUUUCGGCAAGGGGGUCAUCCCGACUUACCAACCCGAUGCAAACUGCGAAUACCGGAGAAUGUUAUCACGGGAGACACACGGCGGGUGCUAACGUCCGUCGUGAAGAGGGAAACAACCCAGACCGCCAGCUAAGGUCCCAAAGUCAUGGUUAAGUGGGAAACGAUGUGGGAAGGCCCAGACAGCCAGGAUGUUGGCUUAGAAGCAGCCAUCAUUUAAAGAAAGCGUAAUAGCUCACUGGUCGAGUCGGCCUGCGCGGAAGAUGUAACGGGGCUAAACCAUGCACCGAAGCUGCGGCAGCGACGCUGAUGCGUUGUUGGGUAGGGGAGCGUUCUGUAAGCCUGCGAAGGUGUGCUGUGAGGCAUGCUGGAGGUAUCAGAAGUGCGAAUGCUGACAUAAGUAACGAUAAAGCGGGUGAAAAGCCCGCUCGCCGGAAGACCAAGGGUUCCUGUCCAACGUUAAUCGGGGCAGGGUGAGUCGACCCCUAAGGCGAGGCCGAAAGGCGUAGUCGAUGGGAAACAGGUUAAUAUUCCUGUACUUGGUGUUACUGCGAAGGGGGGACGGAGAAGGCUAUGUUGGCCGGGCGACGGUUGUCCCGGUUUAAGCGUGUAGGCUGGUUUUCCAGGCAAAUCCGGAAAAUCAAGGCUGAGGCGUGAUGACGAGGCACUACGGUGCUGAAGCAACAAAUGCCCUGCUUCCAGGAAAAGCCUCUAAGCAUCAGGUAACAUCAAAUCGUACCCCAAACCGACACAGGUGGUCAGGUAGAGAAUACCAAGGCGCUUGAGAGAACUCGGGUGAAGGAACUAGGCAAAAUGGUGCCGUAACUUCGGGAGAAGGCACGCUGAUAUGUAGGUGAAGUCCCUCGCGGAUGGAGCUGAAAUCAGUCGAAGAUACCAGCUGGCUGCAACUGUUUAUUAAAAACACAGCACUGUGCAAACACGAAAGUGGACGUAUACGGUGUGACGCCUGCCCGGUGCCGGAAGGUUAAUUGAUGGGGUCAGCGCAAGCGAAGCUCUUGAUCGAAGCCCCGGUAAACGGCGGCCGUAACUAUAACGGUCCUAAGGUAGCGAAAUUCCUUGUCGGGUAAGUUCCGACCUGCACGAAUGGCGUAAUGAUGGCCAGGCUGUCUCCACCCGAGACUCAGUGAAAUUGAACUCGCUGUGAAGAUGCAGUGUACCCGCGGCAAGACGGAAAGACCCCGUGAACCUUUACUAUAGCUUGACACUGAACAUUGAGCCUUGAUGUGUAGGAUAGGUGGGAGGCUUGGAAGUGUGGACGCCAGUCUGCAUGGAGCCGACCUUGAAAUACCACCCUUUAAUGUUUGAUGUUCUAACGUGGACCCGUGAUCCGGGUUGCGGACAGUGUCUGGUGGGUAGUUUGACUGGGGCGGUCUCCUCCUAAAGAGUAACGGAGGAGCACGAAGGUUGGCUAAUCCUGGUCGGACAUCAGGAGGUUAGUGCAAUGGCAUAAGCCAGCUUGACUGCGAGCGUGACGGCGCGAGCAGGUGCGAAAGCAGGUCAUAGUGAUCCGGUGGUUCUGAAUGGAAGGGCCAUCGCUCAACGGAUAAAAGGUACUCCGGGGAUAACAGGCUGAUACCGCCCAAGAGUUCAUAUCGACGGCGGUGUUUGGCACCUCGAUGUCGGCUCAUCACAUCCUGGGGCUGAAGUAGGUCCCAAGGGUAUGGCUGUUCGCCAUUUAAAGUGGUACGCGAGCUGGGUUUAGAACGUCGUGAGACAGUUCGGUCCCUAUCUGCCGUGGGCGCUGGAGAACUGAGGGGGGCUGCUCCUAGUACGAGAGGACCGGAGUGGACGCAUCACUGGUGUUCGGGUUGUCAUGCCAAUGGCACUGCCCGGUAGCUAAAUGCGGAAGAGAUAAGUGCUGAAAGCAUCUAAGCACGAAACUUGCCCCGAGAUGAGUUCUCCCUGACUCCUUGAGAGUCCUGAAGGAACGUUGAAGACGACGACGUUGAUAGGCCGGGUGUGUAAGCGCAGCGAUGCGUUGAGCUAACCGGUACUAAUGAACCGUGAGGCUUAACCUU